RNAcentral lists this ribosomal RNA (468 nucleotides) under uncultured bacterium. RNAcentral's name for it is "partial 16S ribosomal RNA". It matches the Rfam family "Bacterial small subunit ribosomal RNA", at positions 28 to 507 of the family's 1533-position model. The record is from RNAcentral.
GACGAACGCUGGCGGCGUGCUUAACACAUGCAAGUCGAACGGAAAGGCCCUGCUUUUGUGGGGUGCUCGAGUGGCGAACGGGUGAGUAACACGUGAGUAACCUGCCCUUGACUUUGGGAUAACUUCAGGAAACUGGGGCUAAUACCGGAUAGGAGCUCCUGCUGCAUGGUGGGGGUUGGAAAGUUUCGGCGGUUGGGGAUGGACUCGCGGCUUAUCAGCUUGUUGGUGGGGUAGUGGCUUACCAAGGCUUUGACGGGUAGCCGACCUGAGAGGGUGACCGGCCACAUUGGGACUGAGAUACGGCCCAGACUCCUACGUGAGGCAGCAGUGGGGAAUAUUGCACGAUGGGCGGAAGCCUGAUGCAGCAACGCCGCGUGCGGGAUGACGGCCUUCGGGUUGUAACCCGUUUUCGCCUGUGACGAAGCGUGAGUGACGGUAAUGGGUAAAGAAGCACCGGCUAACUACGUG